UACGUAGGGUGCAAGCGUUAAUCGGAAUUACUGGGCGUAAAGCGUGCGCAGGCGGUGAUGUAAGACAGUUGUGAAAUCCCCGGGCUCAACCUGGGAACUGCAUCUGUGACUGCAUCGCUGGAGUACGGUAGAGGGGGAUGGAAUUCCGCGUGUAGCAGUGAAAUGCGUAGAUAUGCGGAGGAACACCGAUGGCGAAGGCAAUCCCCUGGACCUGUACUGACGCUCAUGCACG
Molecule: ribosomal RNA, 232 nt
Filed under: uncultured bacterium
Lineage: Bacteria
Description: partial 16S ribosomal RNA
Rfam family: Bacterial small subunit ribosomal RNA
Source: RNAcentral